Molecule: RNA transcript, 3052 nt
Organism: Venturia canescens
Lineage: Eukaryota; Metazoa; Arthropoda; Insecta; Hymenoptera; Ichneumonidae
Gene name: TBC domain-containing protein kinase-like protein
Exons: 13
Source: RefSeq, a predicted model, not a curated record
UUAGUUCACGUAUUCGCCAUUCAAAGCGCGCUGUCGGCGUUUGGUGGCGCCCGCGACUUGAUAGCAGAACUUGUAAACUUUUGACAGCUAUCAGCUGUCUUUCGAAAUUUCGAAUGGAGUAAAAAGAAAAAAGAUCGUAAAAAAUCAGGGGGGCGUCGCUGUAUUAUGAGUAGAAUGAAACCUUAUAAAAUGUAAAAGCUUUAUCAAACAUCUACUACAAUGGUGAUACUACAAUUCUGAUGAAUAAUUUAACGUUUUUUUUCGAACUAAUAAAAAUCAGAGGUGACGAUUCUCUUUGGCCGAAUUUUCCAGCAGCGUUCACAAAAUGUGUCCUGCAAUCUUGGAUACCGAAGAGCGUUGCCUGGGUGGCAUGACGUUUUUUGCCCAGAGCCAUCCGUCCGAACUUUGUGGUAGCAAUGGUCUACCCUUGACCCCAAAUUCCAUUACGAUAUAUGGAAAAUCUCAAUACCUCAAAACCAUAAAUCAUCCGAAUCUUUCUACUUACCUGGAUAUCAUCAGAAGCAAACAUGAACGAACAGUGGUAGUUGCAGAGUACAGUGGCAUACCAUUGUCCGGUAGAGAUUCUUUGCCAACCAAUGAGAUUAUUAGAAUAUCUUAUCAGUGUUUAUUGGGACUAGAACACAUCCAUGAACUGGGUCUUGUUCAUAGACAUUUGAGUCCUGACAAUAUACUGAUAAGCCAAAAUGGAAAAGUUCAGUUGUAUAAUUAUGGGUUAUACUUCAUGACUGACAGCGGGAGGAAUAUUUCAUUUCCCAUUGGAUAUCCAAAAUAUACAGCACCUGAAGUUUUUCUUGGCUCAGGAAUAAGUGGCAGGAAGGUUGAUUCGUGGUCCCUGGGAAUGAUAAUGGCUGAAUGUUUCUUGGAAAAGCGUAUCUGGCAUGGCAUCAAAUUGUCUCAAUGCCUGCGAAAAGUCUUAAGCCUUUUGCAUUCUGAGACAAGUGUGUUUGAACGAUUAGCUCAAGAAAACGACCGCUAUGACCAAUACAAGAAACUGCCACAGGAAAUUAAAGACUUUGUGGACGCUUGUCUCGCAAUUCGACCAUCUGCGCGAAAAACUUGUGAGGAAUUGUUGCAGCUACCGCUGUUCAAAGAUCUAGCGGAGAACGACAUCAAAGAGAAAUCUGUUAAUGUGUACAAAAAUGUGACAAUCAGAAGAAUGGAUGAGUUGUAUUAUCUGUGGCAAUUAGCCGGAGGAGACAUGACGAUAGAACUGAAAAAACAAGGCCUCAUACGAUCGAGGCCCCCGAUUCUAUCAAUUCCAAAUUUGGUGAUUCUAUUGGGUCAAAUGUUUGGAAGAAGAGACACUGCAGGCCUGCUCGAUUUAAGAGUAGUCAAAGUUCCUUUGGACACAUUGCGACAACGGUUGUCUCACAUUCCUUACAUAGCUAAUUGUCCGCGCUUAACCAGUCAAAUGCACAUCAAAGCUCAGGACGAUUUGACGGACGUCGCAUCUCAGUUGCCACUCAUCAUACGCGAGAGAGAUACAGAAUACCAAUUUUACAGAAUUGUCAUUUACGAUCGAUUGCUUCAGGUUUAUCCGAUAACAAGAAAAGCGAUAAUUCGCGAAGCUCACAAAGAUAUACCACCACCUGUUCGAGGCCCCGUUUGGGCAGCCCUUCUUGGAGUUAGUGGCGAUAUACAAAAGCGAUACGAUAUGAUCGACAAGGAAACUCCCACCCACACGGAUCGUCAGAUAGAGGUCGAUAUUCCACGUUGUCAUCAAUACAGCGAGCUCUUGUCUUCUGGUGCUGGUCACGAGAGAUUGCAGAGAUUAUUAAAAGCUUGGGUUCGCGACAACCCUCAUUACGUUUAUUGGCAAGGGCUGGAUUCCUUGACCGCUCCAUUUCUAUAUUUAAAUUUUAACAACGAAGCCCGCGCUUUCGCUUGUCUCUCUGCCUUUAUACCGAAGUAUCUCCACAAAUUUUUUCUCAAGGAUAACUCGGCAGUGAUACAAGAAUAUUUGGGAAAAUUCUCCCAAAUAAUAGCUUUUCACGAUCCACAAUUGGCGAAUCACCUGAGAUCUAUCAGUUUUGUUCCUGAAUUAUUUGCCAUACCAUGGUUCCUAACUAUGUUUUCGCGUAAGUUAUUUUUCACCAAUUUUUCCCAUUCUUCAUUGUAUUUUCAUACAAUUAAUGAAUUUUCUCUUACAGAUGUUUUUCCGCUUCACAAAAUUCUUCAUCUCUGGGACAAACUUUUGCUGGGUGACUCGUCGUUUCCCCUCAUGGUCGGGCUCGCGAUUCUUAGACAGCUUCGAGAUUCUUUACUCACUUCGGGAUUCAACGAGUGCAUUUUACUGUUUUCGGAUCUACCGGAAAUCGAUAUUGAAUUGUGCGUCAAAGACUCAACUACAAUGUACGAGAGAACCCCCGCGAGUAUUACAUACAGAAGACAUCAGUUUGAUCAAUCGAAGGCAAAAAAUUGGAGCGAACCGGAGCCAGAGACCGAAAGAAUGCCAAGAAUAAGCAUCGAAGACUUUUUGAACCUCACCGAUAUUACUCAGGAUAAAAUAAUAGUAGUUGAUAUACGAAAUAAAAUGCAGUUUGAAAGAGGGGCUGUUCGAGGCAGUAUAAACAUUCCGUUUUCAAGCGUGCAACUUUCUCAUACUCACAUUGAUACUCUUGGUCCACAAGCCAAACCCCUUGCCGAGCAAAAAGAUCGUUUAGUCGUGAUCAUAGGGCCUCACGAUCAGAACAAUGCUCUUUUUGCAGAUUUCCUCAUAAAGUGCAACAUAAUGGGUGUGUGCUCUCUACAAGGAGGGAUAUAUGCUUUACGGUCCAAAUCGCCAAAUAUCCUCGUCAAUUCGAGCCGUUAACAUAAACAAACAAAAAAUGACUACUUUGAGUACCGAUAGUUGUUUUUCGGAUUUUCGAGACCGGACACUUCAGUGUAUAAUCUACGACAAAAAUCAGAUUAGAUUUCAAAGCCAUAGAUUGGCCAACAGUGCGAUAAACGCGCAUGGGUCGAAUAAUCUCGUUGCCAGGGUAACCAAUUCGAAAACAUUGUCGAUCGUUCAUUCUCGCGUGGAGCGUGU